This 479-nucleotide ribosomal RNA is filed under the name uncultured bacterium. RNAcentral's name for it is "partial 16S ribosomal RNA". It matches the Rfam family "Bacterial small subunit ribosomal RNA", at positions 28 to 507 of the family's 1533-position model. The record is from RNAcentral.
GAUGAACGCUGGCGGCGUGCUUAACACAUGCAAGUCGAGCGAGAAGUUUUGAAAAUAUUCUUCUGAUGAAAUUUAAAAUGGAAAGCGGCGGACGGGUUAGUAACGCCUAGGCAACCUGCCCCAUACAAAGGGAUAGCAUUUGUAAACGAAUAUUAAUACUUUAUGAAACUUAACUAGUGCAUGCUAGGUAGGUCAAAGAUUUAUCGGUAUGGGAUGGGCCUGCGUCUGAUUAGCUAGUUGGUGAGGUAUUUGCUCACCAAGGUGACGAUCAGUAGCCGAACAGGGAGAGCGGCCUGCUUGAUUCGAAGAUAGACACGGGACACACUCGUACGGGAGGAGGGGGUAGGAAAGAACGAACAAUGGGAGAAAGCCUGAUGCAGCACCGCUGCGUGAACGAGGAAGGCGGUUGGGUAGUAAAGUUCUGUUCUAGGUGAUGGAAAGUGACGGUAACCUAUAAGAAAGCCCCGGCUAACUCCGUG